UACGUAGGGCGCGAGCGUUGUCCGGAAUUAUUGGGCGUAAAGAGCUCGUAGGCGGCCUGUCGCGUCAAUUGUGAAAGCCCGGGGCUUAACCCCGGGUCUGCAGUCGAUACGGGCAGGCUAGAGUGUGGUAGGGGAGAUCGGAAUUCCUGGUGUAGCGGUGAAAUGCGCAGAUAUCGGGAGGAACACCGGUGGCGAAGGCGGCAUCCUGGACUGGUACUGACGCUCAUGAGCGAAAGCGUGGGGAGCGAUCCGG
RNAcentral lists this ribosomal RNA (253 nucleotides) under uncultured bacterium. RNAcentral's name for it is "partial 16S ribosomal RNA". It matches the Rfam family "Bacterial small subunit ribosomal RNA", at positions 524 to 776 of the family's 1533-position model. The record is from RNAcentral.